UUUUUAGAGAGUUUGAUCCUGGCUCAGGAUGAACGCUGGCGGCGUGCCUAACACAUGCAAGUCGAACGGAGUCGUUUUGGAAAUCUCUUCGGAGAUGGAAUUCUCGACUUAGUGGCGGACGGGUGAGUAACGCGUGAGCAAUCUGCCUUUAAGAGGGGGAU
Molecule: ribosomal RNA, 161 nt
Filed under: Butyricicoccus sp. TM10-16AC
Lineage: Bacteria; Bacillati; Bacillota; Clostridia; Eubacteriales; Butyricicoccaceae
Description: Bacterial small subunit ribosomal RNA
Rfam family: Bacterial small subunit ribosomal RNA
Source: Rfam by way of RNAcentral